ACACCACACAUAUAUAUAUAUACACACAUAUACAUGUGUGUGUGUAUAUAUAAAUGUGUGUAUAUGUGUAUAUAUAUGUAUAUAUGUGGGUAU
Molecule: non-coding RNA, 93 nt
Organism: Xyrichtys novacula (pearly razorfish)
Lineage: Eukaryota; Metazoa; Chordata; Actinopteri; Labriformes; Labridae
Source: the annotation of a GenBank genome assembly